RNAcentral lists this ribosomal RNA (833 nucleotides) under Cardinium endosymbiont of Brevipalpus phoenicis. RNAcentral's name for it is "bacterial SSU rRNA". It matches the Rfam family "Bacterial small subunit ribosomal RNA", at positions 170 to 1003 of the family's 1533-position model. The record is from RNAcentral. Lineage: Bacteria; Pseudomonadati; Bacteroidota; Cytophagia; Cytophagales; Amoebophilaceae.
CCCAUACAAUCUUGCUAGCGCAUGCUAGAAAGAUAAAAGCUCCGGCGGUGUAAAAUGAGCGUGCGUCCUAUUAGCUAGUUGGAGAGGUAAUGGCUCACCAAGGCUACGAUGGGUAGGGGUUCUUAGUGGAAGGUCCCCCACACUGGCACUGAGAUACGGGCCAGACUCCUACGGGAGGCAGCAGUAGGGAAUAUUGGUCAAUGGGCGCAAGCCUGAACCAGCCAUGCCGCGUGCAGGAUGAAGGCUCUCUGAGUUGUAAACUGCUUUUGUACAGGAGCAAAAAAGCCCCUGCGGGGGCUCUUGAGAGUACUGUAAGAAUAAGCACCGGCUAAUUCCGUGCCAGCAGCCGCGGUAAUACGGAAGGUGCAAGCGUUAUCCGGUUUUAUUGGGUUUAAAGGGUGCGUAGGCGGCUUAUUAAGUCAGUUGUGAAAUCCUAGUGCUUAACGCUAGAACUGCGAUUGAUACUAUUAGGCUUGAGUUAAGAAGAGGUAGGCAGAAUUUAUGGUGUAGUAGUGAAAUGCUUAGAUAUCAUAAGGAAUACCAAUAGCGUAGGCAGCUUACUGGUCUUUAACUGACGCUGAGGCACGAAAGCGUGGGGAGCAAACAGGAUUAGAUACCCUGGUAGUCCACGCCGUAAACAAUGAUCACUCGAUAUACAUGAAACUUCGUGUGUGUCUAAGCGAAAGCGUUAAGUGAUCCACCUGGGGAGUAUACUCGCAAGGGUGAAACUCAAAGGAAUUGACGGGGGUCCGCACAAGCGGUGGAGUAUGUGGUUUAAUUCGAUAAUACGCGAGGAACCUUACCUGGGCUAGAAUGUAUUUUGACACCUUGAG